AAGUCGUAACAAGGUCUCCGUUGGUGAACCAGCGGAGGGAUCAUUACGAAAGCGUUUUUAACAGCGCAAAACCCACUGUGAACAUACCUGUUUGUUGCUUCGGCAGGCGGCCCCAGGGCGGGGCCAGCAGCCUGUAUUUUUUUCAGGCGCCUGCCGGAGGCCACUUCAAACUCUUAUUGUAUACCCCCUCGCGGGUUUUUUUAUAAUCUGAGCCUUCUCGGCGCCUCUCGUAGGCGUUUCGAAAAUGAAUCAAAACUUUCAACAACGGAUCUCUUGGUUCUG
Molecule: unclassified non-coding RNA, 282 nt
Filed under: Trichoderma afroharzianum
Lineage: Eukaryota; Fungi; Ascomycota; Sordariomycetes; Hypocreales; Hypocreaceae
Description: partial internal transcribed spacer region
Rfam family: Eukaryotic small subunit ribosomal RNA (bases 1-46)
Source: RNAcentral